GGCUUUGGCUUCGGCCCUGCUGGCUCCUGAGGGGCAGGAGCUCUGCACAACAGGGGAAUUGAAAAGGCUUAAAUUGGGUAUGGGGAUUUCUCCAAACUCAGCUAAAUAACAUAACAAGGGCUCUUUUGGUAAGAGUGGGGAUGGAAGAAGUGUUGCUGGGAGAAGACUGCUCUGUGUUGACCGUGUUUUCAUCCCCAGUGACCCAGGCUCAGCACAGGGCCCCACCACAGGCACAGCAGAGACCCUCCACCCUCCCAGGCAGCGUCACCAUGCCUCAAGGUACUUGAACCUGGAAUCAAAAGAGCUGAGAUAUGCAGGAGGGAUGGAAACACAGCUGGUUUACAGUUACAUGUGUGACACACGCCUUGUCCAUGAAGUGGUGCCAUCUUCUUGUGACAUCUCCAUCCCGUGCACACAGCCUGGCCUCUGAAGGCUGUCUGAGUUUUCUGUGGUUCCUGCCAGCCCAGCAGUGCAGUCACAUGGUGCUCAGGAACCUGCCACCAGUAAUUUUGCUGUGGAGCAGAGGAAAUGAACUGGCAGGCGCUGAACCCUGUCGCACGCUCCUCAUGAGCACAGGUGAUGUCUCUGGGAAACAGAAAAUGGCAACGAAGGCCAGAGAGUGCUGCUGGGAUGCCUCUGCUGUUCUGGCUGUGUAAGGUGAGAGUCUUCUGCAAUUCUCCUCUCAUCCAUUUACCCCUGGCUGACCUUCCCAAGGGCUGGUGAACCUGAGAUGUGGGACACUGCUGUGUUGGAGGCACCUGUUCCAUCCCAACCAUGCCUGAAAGCACGUGCUGGGUGUCGAGUGGCUGGAAGUUACCCCAUGCUUUGUGAAGGGGAGCUGCUGAUUAGGAAAUAAGUAAAACACCAGCCAUCUGUGUGUUCCAGCAAUCACAACAGCAUCCACAGAGCAUCGACUUCAGUUCACAAAUAUUAAUUUAAAAAACCCUCUUUCAUAUUUGCCUGGAAAGAAAGCUGGAGCUCAUUAUGGCUGCACGCUUUAUGGAAGCCUUGUAAGUGCAGCAGAGGGAAUUCCCUCAAGGUCUUUGUUUCCUGGUGGAUGCUGUGCCUUAAUGACAUUCGGGGCAGCGUUGUUGGGAAGGAGCAAAUGAGCUCAGCUUGGACCACCACCUUUGAGGGGUUGGGCCCCCAUAGCAAGGCCUGGAUCAGCCCAAAACACCCAUCAAGGACACACCUGAAGAGAGAGAAGUCUAAGCAGUGCUGGGCCACAAGGUGCACGGUGGAGGCAGCACCUGGGCUGGUUGAGCUUGGGAGCUGUGCCUGCAGCUGGUCUGCUGCUUCCAGGAACACCAACCAAUGCUGUGUGGCAGCACAUUGCAAAUUGUGAAGUUUUCUUCUAUGACCAGAAGUGGAAUUUCAUCUCACUCGGCUUUCCCUUCCUUGCUGUUUGUGAUGCAGUUCCAGCACCUGUGGCAAAGCACGAAGGCAGCGUGUUUCAACCUCCAGGGAAGUGCACGAAGAGCCUGGAGCGGGCACAUUCCUGCUGUGGCUGUCCAUGAGUUUGCUAGGCCUGCCUCUACCCCAUCCGUAGCUUCUACUGGAUGUGAGCAGAGCAGUGGAACCCAAUGUCUCCCCUGCUAACAGCUGGAUCCAGGUACCACACACUUCCCUUUGACCUUUCUUUAAUGGAGUUGUUUCAAGCAGAGACCAGUACUCUUACAAUUGCUUCUCCAUUUAAAACAGAAAAAAUGCUCUCCUAAAAUCCAAUUUCACUAAGUAUUAUUUGUCUUUCAUAUGUUUACACUUGAAUACCAACACACUUAUGCAGCAAACUAAACCAAUGCCUUCAUAUUUCACAUGCUCUCACGUAACAUUUGUGCUCUGCUAAAGGCUUGAAAUCCGGGGCUACUGACAAGACAUUUUUCACAAAACAUAGCCAAAAGCAAGUUCCUGUGUUGUUCAGCAAGUCUGACACCCUGGAUUAAUCUACUUGCAGCUGUUGAAGGGUGUCUUACCUCUCCUUGUCUACUCCCACCCAUGGAGCUCUGUUGCUCCUUGUGUCUCGUUUGACUCAAUUUAGCUUGCAAUAUCAGAAGCAUAUUUUUGCAGGAUUUUCUUAUGGCAAUGUCCAUGAGCUGUUAGGUUGGCUCAUCUUCUGGGUAGACCACACCCACUGCUAAAGCCUACUUCCCCCCAGCAAAAUUUUUGUUUUUGUAGCCAGAAGAACAGGGAGGUGCUUUCUGGAGGAUGAUGACACAAUGCCAGCCAAGACUCUUCUCUAACCACUGCUGAUAUUAUACUGGCAAGGGCUCAUUUCUCUAUUUGAUGAACUCGAGUCAUGCAACUAUCUCAACUACUACGUGCUGACUCACAAAACCUCACAGGUCAACUUCCUGUCAGUCCUGCCUGUGGCCCUGUGUAAAGAUGACUCAAUAUUCCUAAGCAAAUGGACCCAUAUGGGAUGUAGAAAUGAAGAGUGCAGUAUAUCCAGGACUGCUAGCUGCACUCUUAUUCAUGUCUCCUAAGACUUAAACGAAUUGCAAAAGCGGGCUGAAAUUCAGAAUGAAGUUGAAUUCUAGGAAGUUUAAGAGGUCUGAUUCAAAACCUUGUCAUUAUCUUGGGUUUUGUAGUACCAUGCAAAUGUUUAGCACUUAGGAAAACAUAUGGAUUUCCAGAUUCUUCUGAAAUUUUAAACAGAUUACUAAAACAGAAGAAUGUAUCUCACAUUCAAAGAUACCUCUCCUGAAUAGUUAGUUUUUUUGAUGCUCUAGUUAUUUUCUGAGGUAUGAGAUUUACAGAUAAUCCUGCUUGUCCCUCAAGUAAAGGACACGUUUAACAGCAGAUUGUUGAAUGAAAUCCCAACUGAUUCUUCACAGGCAUUUCAGACCCAGCCUUUCAAACUGAGGUUGACCUGAGCCUGAGUUUUCCUGGUGUUACAUUCUGUCACAGCAGAAUGCAUUCCUGUCCAUCUUGUCCAGUUGCAUUCUAGGCUUCAGCAUGGCAAAACCACCACUGAACAGAGGAAUGGAGUAUCACAGCUGUGAAAACUGAACUGGACUACAUACCAACAAACCUUCAAUAAUAUAAUCCUUUAAGGAAAUGCAGGGCUACCCAUAGCAGGGACCACUAAAGACAUAAAUACCAUGUCAGAGCUCAGAAAUUUCGAAGGACUAUAGAAAAGCUAUUUCCAAGUUUAGCAGACACUGUUCUGAAUGGAAGUUGUGUUAAGACAGUGCACUUCCUUCUGAAUUUGUACUGAACUGACACUGAGACUGAGCUCCAAGACUUAAACCAAUGAGAUAUAAGUAACAGCGGACAAAUACAGCAUUGAGCUUACAACUGAAAUACCGGGUAGGUAUCAAGUUUUAGCAUUCUUUCCAAGCUGCAUCUUGUUUCAUCUGUCAAAAGCUUCUCUCAAGUUUCAUCAGAAGCUGGUAGACAUUGUUUCCUUUUCCAUGUUAUUUUGCUACUUACCCCAAAGGCUGCAUCUCAGUUCUGAAACUGCUGCAUUUUGGUAUCUGGUAGAAGUACUCUUAUUAUUUAUAGAGCAGUAUUACCUUCUCAGUAUCUACACAGCUCAAAUUACAACACACCAUUUUCAGCAAACGGAUGAAGACUUCAUCCCAGGACCUGCAGUUAACCUGGAACUGCCUAGAAGCAGGAGUCAAGGUCUUACAGAGGGAAGGCUCUGUAAGAAUUAACUGGUCAUGGUUAGUUUAUUCAUAUGGAUAUGGUACAUCUGCUGGGCAAGCUCAAGAAAGAGGAAACAACGGCUCCUCUAGUUGGCCAUGGAGCUCAGUCUCUGGGGCUACUGCCCCAGCGCUAACUCUGCAGGAAAAUCAGCACCAAGGGGAACUCAGAUGUCCAGUUCUGAUACAGCAUCUCCCUCAUGCAUCCAGGAUUUUUCUAAUGAUUAAUGUCUUAAUGCUAGUAGUGUCUUUUCUCAUUUUCUUUUUACAUUUUUUUUCUUCUCCUGUGUUCUUAAUGGCUGCUGGGAAGCAGUAAACAGAGGCGUGAUUUCUAUUACCAAGCAGUUUGUAUUUAACAAUUCUGAGUAUCUUUACACCUCUUUUCAUAUGAGCAUUUAUUUUUUGCAACUUUCUUGUAAUUUAUCUUGAUUUUUUGUCUAUGUUUUAAACGGUCUAUUCAUAUUCUGGUUUAGUUCUUUAUCUGAAUUUAAUAUAUCAUAACAGUGUCCCCCCAGCUUUACAUAUUUGACUACAAAAAAAAUGGUCCUCUGCUAGUGUUAAGCCUGAUUACAUCUGAGUUUUCUUGCAUUGGAAAACUCUUUUAUAUAUAAACCCAAUCCCAUUAUUGGUAUUUCAGAUCUUCAGUCACGUCCCAAGCCUGCAACCAGAUCCAUGUAGGUGAACUACUCUAUUGACAACAUCCCCCUUAAGUCAGACAGCUCUCAGCAUGCACCCACCCAGCUGCAGGAGAAAGAACACCUUUCAUAUUUAGAUUAAUCCCCAGACAACAUGAUCUUCCUAAAGCAAAAUGUCAUUGAUAGUAUUUGGCAAAACCCUGCUAAAUAGCAAGGGCUAGUUUUUCAAUGUAAUUUUCCCCCUCACAGCAUCUUAACAGAAAUUAUUUCUCUUAUACCUCAGUCUUUAAAUGAACAUCUCAGUUACUGAAAGUCUGAAGUCACAAGUAAUAGCUCUGGUUCCAGGAUAACAGACUCUCAUAUGUUUCACUAGCAGCUUCUGAUAUUGCCAAACAAACUCUUAAGUUCUUCUUGCUGUAGAAGUCUUUUUUUUUUUUUAAUACUGCAAUAGUCAGGCAAGUUUGCAUUUUAAUUUUUUUCCUGAAAUGUCCUUAUAUAUGUAUACUGAUGGAUUUUUACAGGUUGUGUAUAUUAGCUUUCACUGGCUAAAAAUGAUUUCUGACAUUUAAAAAAAACCCUGAGACUUCUGUUCCUACUUCCAACUUUUGUUUAUUAAAAUAAAAAAUACAAAUUGCAAAAAAACCCAUUUUCUUUAUGGCUGUGUUAUCUACCUUGUCAACAACUAACUCUAAAGUAGAAUUACAUGAGACUAUGUAAAUAAUACAGACAUUUAACAAACAGAAGGGGUUGGUUGGUUUUUUGAACUACCUUGGGAAAAAUGAAUUGUGACAAAAAGACUGGGGACUAAUUUAUGACUUACUAUUAAGUCACCUGAAGGUACUCUCAACAUACCAGCAAAAGUAAAUGGGUUAGAAAUAAGACUGUACAUCACACAGUAUGAACAAGCUUUAUCCAUCAUAACUUCCUGUUAUUAAAUUCACAUUUUCUGAGUGCAUUUUUUCCUGUUCUGUAAUAGUUUAUUAAGCUUGGGCAGUUACUGCAAGGUCAUAGUGCUGGGACUGAUUAAAAAGCACUGUUUAUUCUCUGCUCAGAGAGGCUGUUGAAAAUCCUGACCAUACUUCUGGGUUUCCAUGAGUUUAUCUCAGGAGCCUGGGACUCCACACACUCAGCCCAACUG
Passer domesticus (house sparrow) is the source of this 5420-nucleotide long non-coding RNA. RefSeq lists it as uncharacterized. The record is from RefSeq and is a predicted model, not a curated record. Lineage: Eukaryota; Metazoa; Chordata; Aves; Passeriformes; Passeridae. The transcript has 9 exons.